GAACCGUGCGAACGUUGUUCGGAAUCACUGGGCUUAAAGGGCGCGUAGGCGGCUUGCCAAGUCAGGGGUGAAAUCCUGCAGCUCAACUGUAGAAGUGCCUUUGAUACUGGCGAGCUCGAGGGAGGUAGGGGUGCGCGGAACUUCUGGUGGAGCGGUGAAAUGCGUUGAUAUCAGAAGGAACGCCGGUGGCGAAAGCGGCGCACUGGAUCUCUUCUGACGCUGAGGCGCGAAAGCUAGGGGAGCAAACGGGAUUAGAUACCCCGGUAGUCCUAGCCCUAAACGAUGGGCACUAGAUUGCAGACUGAUCAUGGGUUUGCAGUCGAAGCAAAAGUGUUAAGUGCCCCGCCUGGGGAGUAUGGUCGCAAGGCUGAA
Molecule: ribosomal RNA, 372 nt
Filed under: uncultured bacterium
Lineage: Bacteria
Description: bacterial SSU rRNA
Rfam family: Bacterial small subunit ribosomal RNA
Source: RNAcentral